This 212-nucleotide unclassified non-coding RNA is filed under the name Hevea brasiliensis (rubber tree). The record is from RNAcentral. Lineage: Eukaryota; Viridiplantae; Streptophyta; Magnoliopsida; Malpighiales; Euphorbiaceae.
AUUCUGGAGGUCGGAUCUGGGCGGAAGGAUGUCAUUUUUAGGAAAUUACAGAAGUAUUUUGGAAAAGAAGAAAAAUUAGAGAUCUGGGAUUCACAAAGAAGAAGAAAAAGAAGAAGAAGAAGACGGUAGAUCUCACGUAAGAGAUAAGAGCCCAAAAAGAGGUAAGCAAAGGUUAAUAGCUACAAGCAAAGGUUAAUAGCUACAAGCAAUGG